UGUCUCCUCCACCCUCCUCUAAAGGUGGAUUAAACCCGGGGUUCAUCCCCCGGGUUUUUUUUC
This 63-nucleotide non-coding RNA is filed under the name Leptothrix cholodnii SP-6. Its description in RNAcentral is "Betaproteobacteria toxic small RNA". It matches the Rfam family "Betaproteobacteria toxic small RNA". Rfam says of the family: Overexpression in amino aid rich medium attenuates growth, suggesting role in repressing amino acid intake and metabolism. Lineage: Bacteria; Pseudomonadati; Pseudomonadota; Betaproteobacteria; Burkholderiales; Sphaerotilaceae. The record is from Rfam by way of RNAcentral.